GCUACGGGAGGCUGCAGUGGGGAAUAUUGGACAAUGGGGGCAACCCUGAUCCAGCCAUGCCGCGUGUGUGAAGAAGGCCCUCGGGUUGUAAAGCACUUUCAGUGAGGAAGAACGCCUGGUGGUUAAUACCCAUCAGGAAAGACAUCACUCACAGAAGAAGCACCGGCUAACUCCGUGCCAGCAGCCGCGGUAAUACGGAGGGUGCGAGCGUUAAUCGGAAUUACUGGGCGUAAAGCGCGCGUAGGUGGCUUGAUAAGCCGGUUGUGAAAGCCCCGGGCUCAACCUGGGAACGGCAUCCGGAACUGUCAAGCUAGAGUGCAGGAGAGGAAGGUAGAAUUCCCGGUGUAGCGGUGAAAUGCGUAGAGAUCGGGAGGAAUACCAGUGGCGAAGGCGGCCUUCUGGACUGACACUGACACUGAGGUGCGAAAGCGUGGGUAGCAAACAGGAUUAGAUACCCUAGUAGUC
Molecule: ribosomal RNA, 465 nt
Filed under: Vreelandella stevensii
Lineage: Bacteria; Pseudomonadati; Pseudomonadota; Gammaproteobacteria; Oceanospirillales; Halomonadaceae
Description: partial 16S ribosomal RNA
Rfam family: Bacterial small subunit ribosomal RNA
Source: RNAcentral